GUCUGAUCAAGUGAGAAUGCUGCUCCCAAGACUUCAUUUCUUUUUUGCCGCUAGAUGCGGCUGCGCUGUCCAUUCCGGCGGUCUCCAAGAAACCUCUUUUCUGGGAUCAACUUCAGUCCUCUUCUUCACUUCAUAUACAACUACUCUCUGACAAGCAGAUGUAUAGGCAAUGCGUAUAUGAAGAAGGCACCACCAUUCACCACAUGGACAUCAUACAAAGUCCCUUGGAGGGAAGAUGUGCUUUCAACUUUUACUAGACCUUUGCUAUCAGCCGAACCAGAGAUUUAUUCAAGAGUUUUAAAAGACACUGAUAGAUUCAUCAUAUUUGGAUCUGGUGGAUUUUGAAAAUGUGUGACACUGCUAAAAUUGUUAAUGCUAGUCCACGAGAUGGGAUUGCAAAAAGACUUGCAACGUAUGCUCUACAGAUUGCAGCUGGAAGAAGGAAAAAUAUAUAUAGAGACAUAUUACAUUAUCCUAAGGGAAGUUUUGUUAGUGGAGGGCGGUGUUUUAGUCAGAGUGCCAGGCCAGAUUAUCAUCAUGAUAUUGUUGUGAUUGUUAUCUAUAUGGACAAAAUGUCGAAUGGGGCUGUGAGUCCACAAAUCAUGUCUUAUAGAGGUCACUUUAACACAUUUCAACCUUAAGAUUUUAGAAAUCUUUAGUUGCAUUGCAUGUGUCUAUCUGACAUAUGCCAAAAGGAUUAUGUCUAACACAUACAAAAUAUAUUUUUUAUAUAUAAAAGUUGUUAGUUUUUUUAGCAUUUUUUUUUUUUUGUCUAAGUUGUCAAGUUGUUCAUCAUUUUUUUAGGACGUCUUUACUCGUAUCUAGUGA
Long non-coding RNA from Medicago truncatula (barrel medic), 828 nucleotides. RefSeq lists it as uncharacterized. Lineage: Eukaryota; Viridiplantae; Streptophyta; Magnoliopsida; Fabales; Fabaceae. The record is from RefSeq and is a predicted model, not a curated record. The transcript has 3 exons.